Molecule: ribosomal RNA, 445 nt
Filed under: uncultured bacterium
Lineage: Bacteria
Description: partial 16S ribosomal RNA
Rfam family: Bacterial small subunit ribosomal RNA
Source: RNAcentral
GUGAGGAAUAUUGGUCAAUGGGCGAGAGCCUGAACCAGCCAAGUCACGUGAAGGAAGAAGGAUCUAUGGUUCGUAAACUUCUUUUGCAGGGGAAUAAAGUGCGGGACGUGUCCUGUUUUGUAUGUACCCUGAGAAUAAGGAUCGGCUAACUCCGUGCCAGCAGCCGCGGUAAUACGGAGGAUCCGAGCGUUAUCCGGAUUUAUUGGGUUUAAAGGGUGCGUAGGUGGUUUGAUAAGUCAGCGGUGAAAGUUUGCAGCUUAACUGUAAAAAUGCCGUUGAAACUGUCGGACUUGAGUGUAAAUGAGGUAGGCGGAAUGCGUGGUGUAGCGGUGAAAUGCAUAGAUAUCACGCAGAACUCCGAUUGCGAAGGCAGCUUACUAAGCUACAACUGACACUGAAGCACGAAAGCGUGGGGAUCAAACAGGAUUAGAAACCCUGGUAGUCC